Molecule: long non-coding RNA, 1473 nt
Organism: Sciurus carolinensis (gray squirrel)
Lineage: Eukaryota; Metazoa; Chordata; Mammalia; Rodentia; Sciuridae
Exons: 3
Source: RefSeq, a predicted model, not a curated record
AUUCUCCACAGACUGCCCCUUCUUUCUUGGUCAACCCCAUAUCUUCAGAGAAGGCUAUGAUAACAGGAAGUGUACAUCAUUAAGAAAAAAGGAGAACACUGUCCUCUCCAGCAGAGGCAGUCAAGACACUACCAAUGAGCCACACACACUGCCAAGGGGUGCCGUGCCCCACCCAGCGCCCGAGGUGCCUGCACUUACCUGGAGAGCCGUACUCAUGCCGGGGCAGGCGGCAGAUCUUGGGCAUCACCUCCAUCAGCGUCUUCACGUACUGCAGGAUUGUGCCUUGCAGCUGGGAGAGAGACUGUGUCAGCCACUGGCCUCCAUUCUCCUGGAAAGCUGUGGCUGUCACACAUUCUGAAAAAUCCAGUCUGUUAGCAAAAUGCACAUUAAAGACCACAACUGCAGGAUUAUUGGCUGAGGAAUGAAAUCCCACCUGUGCAAAGAGCAACCUGCACUAGGGGUCUACACAGCUGACAUUUAUGCUCUGAACAACUUCCCUUCCAAGAUGAACGUGGUCCUUAGGUGUGACGGAGGAGGGCAGGAAAUGUGUCUCCUAUGUAAAUGCAUCAAACACUGGGAGCACCUGCAGCUCCAGGGAAUGACGGCUCUUGGAGGACAGGUUCUGGACCCUCUUAUGGUUCUGACACAGCUUCAAGGCUUUAACAUAUGGCUCAGUCAUGAGUUCAGUCAUGACAGAUUCUCACUAUGUUGCCCAGGGUGGUCCCAAACUCCAGGGCUCGAGCAAUCCUUCUGCCUCAGCCUCCAGAGUAGCUGAGACUACAACCUGUGCCACUGCACCCAGUGGAUCCAUUUUCUUGAAUUAGGAAAGAUGAGGAAGAAAUUAAAGUAUCGAAGUGUUCAAAGUUAAAUUGAAUCAUUUGUCUGUUAGAGACUCGCAGUCCAGAUACAGAGAGAAGACUCCCCAGCUGGCUCUACCCCAGUAAAUUCAUGCCCUGGGAAGGAAACUCCUCUGAGGGAAACUCACCAGGCUCUUGACAACCUUCAGCAGCUCUUCCAUGACCACCGCAAUGCCCUGGUAGCCCAGCAGCCGGCAGAUGACUUGAAAGUGUGGAGGUCCCACAAAGUUCCGGUAGCUGCCAUAAAUGCUGGAGUAGGCAAGGUUCAAAGCCUGGGGAAGAGGGGACAGAGUUUUCAACAUGGUCUCUGUGCAGAUGAAAAUCCACUAUGUGAAGAUGCAUUCUGCACGCACAACCCUGAGGUGAAGGGAUUCAGUGACUUUUCUUGUAAAAUACACUGUCCCUACUGGUAUGGAGGUCUUCAACCUGUUAAGAAAAGCAAACCUACUAAAAUAGAGCCCAAGGACAGUGGAAGCCAUGCUCCUAGGGAAGGCACAGGGUACCAGGAACUAGGGAGAGCAGUCCCCCUAGGUAGAAGGUGAGAAAGCAAUGAGAGCAUUUCAUGGAGGGGACCUCUAAGCUCACCGACAAUGUGCGUGUACAGAGCAGGAUGGCC